RNAcentral lists this non-coding RNA (118 nucleotides) under Chloropicon primus. Lineage: Eukaryota; Viridiplantae; Chlorophyta; Chloropicophyceae; Chloropicales; Chloropicaceae. The record is from RNAcentral.
AGCCUGGACUGAUACAUGCAUGGAAUGAACCCGUGUUACAAGCAAGCAAGCGAAGCAACAAAAAGGAAUACAGAAAUAAGUAAGAAGAAUAAAAAAAUAUAUGUGUACCUUUACUUUU